AUCUGAGGCGACUGGUGACGCGCUUAUCCACUUCCCUCCUCCCGCCUUCCCCCGGGGUGGCGCUCGCUGGUGACGUAGUAAGUGCGAUGGCCGCCGCGAGGCCGAGAAGGUGAAGCGCAAUGUCCCUGCUCUUCUCUCGAUGCAACUCUAUCGUCACAGUCAAGAAAGAUAAGAGACACAUGGCUGAGGUGAAUGCAUCCCCACUUAAGCACUUUGUCACUGCCAAAAAGAAGAUCAAUGGCAUUUUUGAGCAGCUGGGGGCCUAUAUCCAGGAGAGCGCCACCUUCCUUGAAG
This 294-nucleotide small RNA is filed under the name Pongo abelii (Sumatran orangutan). RNAcentral describes it as "processed transcript". Lineage: Eukaryota; Metazoa; Chordata; Mammalia; Primates; Hominidae. The record is from RNAcentral.